AUGCAGUCCUAUCUUAAUCGGGAAGUCAUCGGUGUCGACAUCACUUGUUCGAACACUUGUCACAACAUUAUUGUACAUGUCCUUGAUGAGGGUAAUGUACUUUGUUGGGACUUUGUGUUUCUCCAAGGCCCACCACAUGACAUUCCGCGGUAUCUUAUCAUAGGCCUUCUCCAAGUCAAUGAACACCAUAUGCAUGAAACCAAACUGAUUUUUGGUCACGCUUGUCAUUCUUCUUAA
This 237-nucleotide ribosomal RNA is filed under the name Triticum aestivum (bread wheat). RNAcentral's name for it is "partial small subunit ribosomal RNA". Lineage: Eukaryota; Viridiplantae; Streptophyta; Magnoliopsida; Poales; Poaceae. The record is from RNAcentral.